RNAcentral lists this ribosomal RNA (253 nucleotides) under uncultured bacterium. RNAcentral's name for it is "partial 16S ribosomal RNA". It matches the Rfam family "Bacterial small subunit ribosomal RNA", at positions 524 to 776 of the family's 1533-position model. The record is from RNAcentral.
UACGGAGGGUGCGAGCGUUACCCGGAUUUACUGGGUGGAAAGGGCGUGUAGGCGGUCUCUCAAGUCCGAUGCUCAAGACCGAGGCUCAACCUCGGGAGUGCGUUGGAUACUGUGAGGCUAGACGGUCGGAGAGGGCAGCGGAAUUCUCGGAGUAGCGGUUAAAUGCGCAGAUACCGAGAGGUACGCCAAUAGCGAAGGCAGCUGCCUGGACGAUUUGUGACGCUGGGGCGCGAAAGCGUUGGGAGCAAACCGG